This 72-nucleotide transfer RNA is filed under the name Ovis aries (sheep). It matches the Rfam family "tRNA". Rfam says of the family: Transfer RNA (tRNA) molecules are approximately 80 nucleotides in length. Their secondary structure includes four short double-helical elements and three loops (D, anti-codon, and T loops). Lineage: Eukaryota; Metazoa; Chordata; Mammalia; Artiodactyla; Bovidae. The record is from Rfam by way of RNAcentral.
UCCCUGGUGCUCUAGUGGUUAGGACUUGGCACUUUUACUGCUGGGGUCCGGGUUCAGUCCCUGGUCAGGGAA